Sinocyclocheilus grahami is the source of this 89-nucleotide long non-coding RNA. RefSeq lists it as uncharacterized. The transcript is spliced from 3 exons. NCBI's taxonomy places the organism in Eukaryota, Metazoa, Chordata, Actinopteri, Cypriniformes, Cyprinidae. The record is from RefSeq and is a predicted model, not a curated record.
CAAGUUCAAGCUCAAACCAGUGCGCAACGUUUUGCUAUGGUUUCCGAUUUGAAAGACGUGUUUCCUGGAAACGGUUUAUGAGGCAGAUG